RNAcentral lists this ribosomal RNA (231 nucleotides) under uncultured bacterium. RNAcentral's name for it is "partial 16S ribosomal RNA". It matches the Rfam family "Bacterial small subunit ribosomal RNA", at positions 99 to 334 of the family's 1533-position model. The record is from RNAcentral.
CGGACGGGUGAGUAAUGUCUGGGAAACUGCCUGAUGGAGGGGGAUAACUACUGGAAACGGUAGCUAAUACCGCAUAACGUCGCAAGACCAAAGAGGGGACCUUCGGGCCUCUUGCCAUCGGAUGUGCCCAGAUGGGAUUAGCUAGUAGGUGGGGUAACGGCUCACCUAGGCGACGAUCCCUAGCUGGUCUGAGAGGAUGACCAGCCACACUGGAACUGAGACACGGCCCAG